UGCCCAAGAGAUCGGGAUAACACCUGGAAACAGAUGCUAAUACCGGAUAACAACAGAUGAUGCCUAUCAACUGUUUAAAAGAUGGUUCUGCUAUCACUAUUGGAUGGACCUGCGGUGCAUUAGCUAGUUGGUAGGGUAACGGCCUACCAAGGCGAUGAUGCAUAGCCGAGUUGAGAGACUGAUCGGCCACAUUGGGACUGAGACACGGCCCAAACUCCUACGGGAGGCAGCAGCC
RNAcentral lists this ribosomal RNA (235 nucleotides) under uncultured Lactobacillus sp. RNAcentral's name for it is "partial 16S ribosomal RNA". It matches the Rfam family "Bacterial small subunit ribosomal RNA", at positions 127 to 355 of the family's 1533-position model. Lineage: Bacteria; Bacillati; Bacillota; Bacilli; Lactobacillales; Lactobacillaceae. The record is from RNAcentral.